CCUUUCCUGGUUUGAUGCUAACUCCUGGAUAACCCAGCUUAUCGCACGACCUAGUGUCGGCGAAAUUGCACUCGAGUAUCUGCCUUAUCAACCAUCGUCGGUAGUGUAAUGGACUACCCAGGUGUUGACGGGUGACGGAGAAUCAGGGUUCGACUCCGGAGAGGGAACCUUAGAAACGGGUUCCAAGUUUAAGGACAGCCGCAGGCGCGCAACUUAUUCACUGUUCAUUGAACGAGAUAGUGACGAGAAAUAACAAGGUUGUUCUCUUUGAGGUCCUGCCUUUGAAAGGAUGGAACGGAAACAAUUUCCUGAGUAACCACGAGAGGGCAAGUCUGGUGCCCGCAGCCGCGGUAAAUCCCGCUCUCGUAAAGUAUAGAAAUAUUGUUGCGGGUAAAAAGUUUGUAGUUGGAUUUUCUACUUCCACCGGUCCGGUCUAGCGACGUGGCUCUGGAGAGACACGUACUUUGUGCUCACAGGUGCGGUGGUGUACGCCGACGGGGCGCGGAUUACUUUGAACGGCUUAAGUGCUCAAGGCGAGUCUUCGGACUGAAUACACGGUGCAUGGAAUAAUGGAACAAGGUUUCGGCUCGAGUUUUAUUGGUUUUGUCGGCUAAAACAAUGGUUAACAGGAACAGCUGGGGGCACUCGUAUUCGCUGCGCGAGAGGUGAAA
This 671-nucleotide ribosomal RNA is filed under the name Ficophagus virens. RNAcentral's name for it is "SSU rRNA". It matches the Rfam family "Eukaryotic small subunit ribosomal RNA", at positions 229 to 916 of the family's 1831-position model. The record is from RNAcentral. Lineage: Eukaryota; Metazoa; Nematoda; Chromadorea; Rhabditida; Aphelenchoididae.